CCCGCUCAGAACUUAAAUGAAUUGACGGGGCCCGCACAAGCGGUGGAGUAUGUGGUUUAAUUCGAUGCAACGCGAAGAACCUUACCUGGUCUUGACAUCCCGGAGACCCUUAGGAAACUAGGGGUGCUUCCAUCUGGAAGAAUCUGGAGACAGGUGCUGCAUGGCUGUCGUCAGCUCGUGUCGUGAGAUGUUGGGUUAAGUCCCGCAACGAGCGCAACCCUUGCCCUUAGUUGCCAGCAGUUCGGCUGGGCACUCUAAAGGGACUGCCGGUGUUAAACCGGAGGAAGGUGGGGAUGACGUCAAGUCCUCAUGGCCUUUAUGACCAGGGCUACACACGUACUACAAUGGCCGAUACAAAGGGCAGCGACACUGCGAGGUGAAGCCAAUCCCGUAAAAUCGGUCUCAGUCCGGAUUGGAGUCUGCAACUCGACUCCAUGAAGUUGGAAUCGCUAGUAAUCGUGGAUCAGCAUGCCACGGUGAAUACGUUCCCGGGCCUU
RNAcentral lists this ribosomal RNA (497 nucleotides) under uncultured Desulfobulbus sp. RNAcentral describes it as "bacterial SSU rRNA". It matches the Rfam family "Bacterial small subunit ribosomal RNA", at positions 889 to 1382 of the family's 1533-position model. Lineage: Bacteria; Pseudomonadati; Thermodesulfobacteriota; Desulfobulbia; Desulfobulbales; Desulfobulbaceae. The record is from RNAcentral.